GAUAAACGCUGGCGGCGUGCUUAACACAUGCAAGUCGAACGGAGUGGUUCUCCCGAGGAUUGAUGGUGCUUGCACCUGAUUGACUCAUUUGAAUCACUUAGUGGCGGACGGGUGAGUAACGCGUGGGAAACCUGCCCUGUACUGGGGGGAUAACAGUGAGAAAUCACUGCUAAUACCGCAUAAGCGCACGGAGCCGCAUGGCCCUGUGUGAAAAACUCCGGUGGUACAGGAUGGCUCCGCGUUGGAUUAGCCAGUUGGCGGGGUAACGGCCCACCAAAGCGACGAUCCAUAGCCGGCCUGAGAGGGUGAACGGCCACAUUGGGACUGAGACACGGCCCAGACUCC
RNAcentral lists this ribosomal RNA (345 nucleotides) under uncultured Coprococcus sp. RNAcentral's name for it is "bacterial SSU rRNA". It matches the Rfam family "Bacterial small subunit ribosomal RNA", at positions 28 to 339 of the family's 1533-position model. The record is from RNAcentral. Lineage: Bacteria; Bacillati; Bacillota; Clostridia; Lachnospirales; Lachnospiraceae.